UACGUAGGGUGCGAGCGUUAAUCGGAAUUACUGGGCGUAAAGCGUGCGCAGGCGGUUCGUUGUGUCGGUGGUGAAAGCCCCGGGCUUAACCUGGGAAUGGCCAUGGAAACUGGCGAACUGGAGUGUGGCAGAGGGGGGUGGAAUUCCGCGUGUAGCAGUGAAAUGCGUAGAGAUGCGGAGGAACACCGAUGGCGAAGGCAGCCCCCUGGGUCAAAACUGACGCUCAUGCACGAAAGCGUGGGGAGCAAACAGG
This 253-nucleotide ribosomal RNA is filed under the name uncultured bacterium. RNAcentral describes it as "partial 16S ribosomal RNA". It matches the Rfam family "Bacterial small subunit ribosomal RNA", at positions 524 to 776 of the family's 1533-position model. The record is from RNAcentral.